UACGUAGGUGACAAGCGUUGUCCGGAUUUACUGGGCGUAAAGAGCGCGCAGGCGGUCGAUCAAGUCGAGUGUGAAAGCCCCCGGCUCAACUGGGGAGGGUCAUUCGAUACUGAUCGACUCGAAGGCAGGAGAGGGUAGUGGAAUUCCCGGUGUAGUGGUGAAAUGCGUUGAUAUCGGAAGGAACGCCGGUGGCGAAAGCGACGGACUGGACCUCUUCUGACGCUGAGGCGCGAAAGCCAGGGGAGCAAACGGG
Molecule: ribosomal RNA, 253 nt
Filed under: uncultured bacterium
Lineage: Bacteria
Description: partial 16S ribosomal RNA
Rfam family: Bacterial small subunit ribosomal RNA
Source: RNAcentral